Molecule: long non-coding RNA, 7377 nt
Filed under: Gallus gallus (chicken)
Lineage: Eukaryota; Metazoa; Chordata; Aves; Galliformes; Phasianidae
Description: lncRNA (ENSGALG00010020454.1)
Source: RNAcentral
GACAGCUGCAGCAAUCCCAGGUCAGAUGUGGAGAAGGGAAGUCAAGAGGCCGGAGGCCUCCUCUCAUUUCAACCACUGACUCACUGCUUGGCAGAGAAGGGAAUUAUCUAAUAUGCCGGCUAAGGAGUAAGGCAGCCAGUAAUACUCUAUCUGCCUGUCUGUUGAUGCCAGAUCUUUUGUAUGUAAUGGCACUUCUACACUGCCUUUGUCCUUGUGUUUACUUCCUUUUGAAAAUGAAAAAGGCCUCUGCUGUGACACCCUGAGCAAGCAGCCAACUGGCUGAGCAGAGCAGCGUUUCUGGUGCAUCAGUCCGUGUUCAAGCAUAUAUAACUUCUCUUUACCUUGUGCCUCCUUUUUCUUUCAGAUUUAUUGCACUUAACACAUCUGGCUCAGAUGGAAACUGCCCCACAAUUAGCAGUAUUUCUACCCCCUGCAUGCAUGCAGUCUUCAACACGUGCCAUUUGAUUAUAGCCUCAAGCUGGAAAAAUUGAUUACAGAUAAACUGUGCCUGCCACCCAUGCCUUCCCCUGGGACUUCAUCUGCUGCAAUUCUACCAACGUGCUGCUGUCUCCCUAACAGGAAAAGCUCAUGUAUGAACAGUGCUGUUGUAAUAUAUUAAGAGUAGUGGGAAAGGCCGUGGAAGUGAGCCAUAAAUCUGGAGGUAAGAGCCAGGAGCAGCAGGGGCUCUGCUGUAUGCCAUUAAUAAAGAUGUUCCAGAGGCACAGCAGCACGUUGCUGUGGAUAUCGCUCCUCAGGUCUCCACCACAGCAGAGCUGGGCUUUGGUACACAGCAAGGCAAUCAGUCAAAUGCUCUCCACUAUUGUCAAAUGAUCCAAGUUGCUCUUGGUAAACACUGCUGUUAGCAGCAAGGUUAUCGUUCCUGCUUUUAUUUAAGAGUCCAGCUCCAUUUUUCACUGUAAUACAAGUUUUUCAAGAAAUUCCCCAUCUUGUUGAACAAUGCUGGGAAUGCUUUGUUUCCGCAUAAUUUGCCCCAAAAAUAGAGUGAGGUUUUACACUCUUUAGGGCCCCAGCCUUGGCUUUGUACUCAGCCUCCAGCACAACAGGCCUCUGGCUGGGAUUAAUACCAGCACAACACAGAUUAUUGAACGAGGAGAAUAAAGAGGCACGAGGAGGGUAUUUGAGUGCAAAAACUUAAAUGUGGUAGAGGAGUGCAUCUAUCUGGACAUCAAGGAUAGGGAACCAGGAGCUGUGAAUGCCAACAGAGCAGAAGAGGGCCAAGCUCUGCAGCUAGGCCUAACCCCAGUCAUCCCCUGUGAGCUAUGAGGAGGGAGACCUACAGGCAGAGCCCUGGAGAACAUGAGCAUUUGUGGGUUCCUUGGGUGGAAACCAAAUGCAAAUUGCGUUUUAAAGAAAGCAUUUAGCUAAAAUUAGCACCCAUAGCACCAUUAGUGUUGUGUCGGCUGUGACAGAAGGCACUGCUAAUUGCAAGUGAGCUUCCACCCCACUUGAUUAUCGUGGUGACACAUAGAUCAUUAACAUGACGGUCUAAACAUGGAGCAAAUUGUUUAAAUAUUAAACUGUCAACUCCUUCCUCUGAUCUCCAGAUCACUGCCUAAAACAGGGGGGGGAAAUGUGUGUGUAAAAGAUGAAUUGGGAGCUCUGCCACUGCCUGGCAUCACCCUGGUCCCUGUCAGCAUGGUGACUACAGCCAGCAGGCUGUGAAAUGGCAUUUUCUGAGAUCUGCUUUGAUGCAAAUGUAUUUAAUACUUGGUCACUGCUCUCCUGCAGGCCUCCAACGUGACUGGGCCUGCUCACUGACUCCAAGCAUCCAAAGCAAGAGAACUAGAUAACCUCUCAGAGUUCCUCCCAACUCUAACAAUUCUACAACAAAUAGGAAAGGAGAGAGAUCAUUUGCCAAGAAUCAACCUCACCUGCUGCAAAUCUGAGUGGAAACCUGUGGGGCAAAGAAAGACAACAACAGAGCCUUUCCCCAGGAUGCAAACACCAUAGAACAGGACAAUAAAAUAAGAACUGACUUACCUCCUUCCAGUGACCAGCAACAGCUCAAAAGGAGUGCAGCCUCCAACAGAUGCAGCUCCUUCGGCUUCUAGUCCUUAAAUGAGUGAGAGGUGGAUCUAAGCUUCACCCAUAUCAAUCACUCAGGUACAUUGAUUGCACCUGAACAACCUGGGUUAGCCAUAGCUGGUGCUCAGCCAUUGCUUCAGGCCCUGACCUGUCAAUUCUACUGCAGAGCCAUUCAGCUGCUGCAUACAGCCCUCCUUCUGACACAACAGGGGCAUUGGACCUAUGUGCAAACCCUACGCUGUUUUCCUAUUAGUCCUUAGGCCACAAAACAUCACAAACAUCCCUUGGAUGCUCAAAAUGUGGUAACUUGGAUAUUAGGAAGAAUUUAUUCUCAGAAAGAGCAGUGAUGCAUUGCCACAGACUGCCCAGCAAGGUGGUGGGAGGUGUUUAAGGAAAGAGUAGAUGUGGCACUGAGGGACGUGGCCCAGUGGGCAGUGUUAGUGGUAGGUGGGUGGUUGGAUGUUAGAGGUCUUUUCCAACCUUAAUGAUUCUAUGAUUCUAAGAUUCCGAGGCUACGGAAAUUGUUUAGCAGGAGAGCAAUGCUGUUGGGAGAAAAAUACAAACACAUUAAUGACAUUCAGCCAAAGGAUUAUCAAAGGCAAGGAACCCAGGGCACUUAUUUAGGAAAUUAUUCAAGGAGGAGACUCUAAGGGAUGUGAAUUCGUGGUUUCCUUCCUGCGUAAUACAGGAGAGCACAGGAAGGCAGCCCUUGAAUUCAUGGGUCAUAACCCUAUCUACCGAACAGCUUGAGUACGAUCAGUUUAAAAUGAGUCUCAGUGCUCUUCUGCUUUUCCCAAGAGCACAGAAAAAUUAAUCUACCACUGAAGUUUCUCUCUGUCUCAAGCUGUAAAAUACAAGUUUGUGCCGAUAAUUAUUUUGACAGCCGUCACACGUGCCUGUUGUGAAGGAUCAGCACAGACAGUUUCCAAUAUGAUGUGAACCUGUGGUAAUGGCUAAUUAGAAUGCAUUACACAGUCAGUCCCUACAGUUCUCUGUUCCUUAAGAAAAUCUGCAUUUCGGAAGAGAGCCUUAUAUUGGAUAUAUAGGGACAAAGUUGCCUGCAGAUUUCCAUUGUGCUACGCCAUACCCAUUUGUACCAAAGCAUUUUCUUCCGUAGCUCACCAAAUAUAGCAGCUUUCUUCAACACGGGAACAAGACUCAGAAAAGGCUUUGUCCUCGUUCUCCUUAUAGACAAGCAGGUACAAAAAUACCAAGCAAUACGUAGCAGGAGCAGAAGUGUUAGAGGUUACCUAAGGAAUUUCGUACAAUGCUACUUUGACGUCAGAGUUGUCUCAAAUACUACCUGCUGUCAGUGUAAUAUCUAGAGGGUGAGUAAAUCUGUUUCUCACACAGACUUCUCAAAACCAGACUCAGAAUGAGUUAGAAGCUUUUGAAUAGGACUCUGAUUUCUAAGUCACGUAAGUAUUUGCAAUGUUACCCAGAAUCAGGUUGCACGUGCAGACUAGUUUUAAGCAGCACAAACAUAUUCACAUUCUUCUGUGCUGGAGGUAUUAAUCCACAUAUGGAUAUUCAAUUACUAUCAGAGCAAACCAUUCACGUGCACUAGAAUCAGAUAAAAAUAUGCAAAGCAGGUGGCUUGAGGCUCAUUUGUACUGAAAUUCCUUCGGCUGUUUGAAGAGACUUUGUAAUGUCAGCAUACUCCCACCUGAGUACAUUCUUUACUGUGAGCAGAGUAAAGUGGCCUUCUUGUAUGUGAAAGUUAGAUCUGAAUAUGUUCGCUUCAAGGAUACAGGAUUUUUGUUUCAAGAUAAAAAUGACCAAAUAGGUAAAAUAACCUAAUUAUUGCCUUUCUUUCAAGGACUCAAGGAACUUAUACAGUGAGAAUCUGUGAAAAAUAAAUGGAAACCUGGAUUCUACUUCUCUAAUUUUCUCCUGCUCAUCUUUUAUCCUUUCUUUCUUUUUCUUCCUCAACUCCGUAUUAUCAUUCCUGCUGUCCUUAUCAGCAUUAUUGCUUUUGUUGGCCUCCAGUUCGGAGUCCUGCCACCCCGGCACCAUUUCAUCUCUCCAGAUGCAGAGUGGGGGUUUAGGAUAAAAUCUCAUCCUUUGGGAGUCCAUGGAGAUGCAUGGGAAAAAAAAUAAAAAAGCAGAUAAGAACAGUAAGUCUAUAAAUCUCUACGUCUAUAAAUCUUAAAAUGGAUUACUGAUUACAGUGACUCUUUAAUGGAAAGAGUGACAGCUCAUGUAGACAAAAGGCAGUGUAAUUCAUGGAGGCUAUUAAAUUUGAGAGGCCUUUUCAUUCUCAUUUGUCUUUCGAUGUUAUGUGUCGAUUUCUGGGAGAUUAUUCUCUGGGGAGGAUGAGCCCUACUCAUCAGAGCCUGAAAAGUGCCUGUGUUUAUUUGUCUGCUAUUUGCCAUGGUAGGCAAUAUGUUUGCUCCUCCUGCACCAGGAUGGACAACCCACAGUGCUAGUGGAGGCUAUGAGAGGGCGCCCAUCUGUCCUGUCCUGCUUGUUGUUUGUGAGAUCAUGCUGGAUACACCCACUGGGCUUUGGGGUUCAAAGGGGCCAAAACCCCAUCACAGGACAGCAGAACAGAUGCAGCCAAUCUCUCCAUGUCUGUGAUCAUCUGGAAUGUGCUGUGUCCAGACACCCCUCAUAGCAUGGCACAAAUAUCGUAGGACAGGAAUCACCCUUAUGGCAUGGGACACGGUGGUGGUGCUUUGUUCUAGGGGCUCCUCUGCUAGUGGGUUUGCAAUGGAACCAAGGUCUUGGAUAAUGGUCAUGGAUGGACCAUACUAUGGUCGAGGAACUGGUGGCGAGAUAGUACCCAGAAUGUAGUGGUCAAUGGCUCAAUGUCUGGGUGGAGAUCAGCGAUUAGUGGAGUUCCCUGGAGGUCGUUACUGGGACCAAUGCUCUUUAAUAUCUUCAUCAGUGACAUCAACAAUGGGAUUGAGCACACUCUUAGCAAGUUUGUGGAUCACACCAAGCUGUGUGAUGUGGUCAACAUGCGCGAGGGACAGGAUGCCACCAGAGAGGCCUAGACAGGCCUCUGAGAGUGGUCUCUCAGUACCUAAAAGGCCUAUAAGCAAGAGAAGGUCAGACUCUUUAGCGGGGUCUGUUGUGAUAGGAAAAUGGGAAAUGGUUUCAAAAUAAAAGAGAGGAGGUUUAGAUUAGAUGCAAGGAAAAAGUUUUGGUGAUAAAGGUGGUGAAGCACUGGAAAAGGCUGCCCAGGGAAGUUGUGGAUGCCCCAUCGCUGGAUGGGCCUCUGUGCAGCCUGAUCUAGUGGUUGGCAACUCUGUCUGUGACACGGGUGUUGGAACUAGAUGAUCUUUAAGAUCCCUUCCAGUCUAAGCCAUUCUAUGAGCCUAUGGUUCUAUGAGACUUUGAGCUGCUACUGACCAGCAAAAAAACAGCCUGAGUUUUUUAAAUGCUCAUUCAUCAGAGUAAGAGUGUAGAACAGCAAGUGGGCACCGGGGGAGUUUACAUCCCAAAGCACUCCCUUUGCCAAGGUUGCGUUCCUUCAUUUUGAUCACAGAUUACAGAGCUAGAGUGCAAUGGUUUCCCAUGGGAAACCAGGGGCCAGCGGAGUUUCAUCAAGAAACAAGUUACUGCUGGGGCUGGGAGCAGGAUGCUUUCACUCCACAGCGCAGGAGGAUUUACUGUAACACAAACCCUUCAUGCAGGUGAUUGACUGCUACUGCUACCCGCGACAGCCUGAAAUCUGCUGCCUUUGUGUCCUUACUGUUAGUACAAUUGUUCAUUCAUGGACCAAGAGACUCCCAGCGCAUCCAAUUCCAGCCAGGCAAAGUGGCUGCGAUCCUCGUCAAAAAUCAAUUGACUGAAGUCAGACCCCACAUCUCCGGUUGCUAAGGACAGGCAAAUCCACAUUGCUCAUGCUUAGACCAGUGGUGCAGAACAUCACUUAGUGCUCACAGCUGCCUUAUGGCAACAGAGGUGGAAGAGAAGCUGCAGAGACAUGAGGAGCAGGAUCCUGUGCUGCCUGGGAGUCCUGAACGUGUGGAUGGGAAGUAACCUUGAGAGGGGGUCUGUUCCUUGACCAUGUGUUGAAAAUGCCCAUUCAGUUCUGGAGGAAAGUAUUGUCUGUUUACUUAUUUAUGCAGUUAAAAAGAUUGAGGACAUUGCUGUCAACCUCCAGGGCUCUGAAUCCAUACCCUGUCACCUUUAUCAGGUGCCCUAGUGCCCUAAAUUACUAGCUAGCUGCACUUAGCCCUGGUUGACCAUUGCAGCAGCCCCACAGGAAUAAAGACACACUCUUUUCCAAGUGUGUAUGCAGCCCACGUUAGUUUUGGUGACCUAAAAUUGCUGCCUUUCCCUCUACAGAGAGGAUGGAUUGGUCUCAUACUCCUCACUGCUGCCUGGAACCUUUGUCGCAAUGCCCCAUUGCAUCUUGGCAGCCUCACUGUUGUUUUGGGGAUGAGUCACAGGAGACUGAGCUAUCUGGUCAGAAAGGCUCAGUUUCGGUGCUGAGUCACUGCAAAGACAUUGUGGGCAGCUCGGGGCUGUGUUUGUGUUAUGCCUCCCGUUUCACAAAGGACAUUUGCUUAUUUUUGCUUGUCUAAAAGGUCACGCAUCCACGUGCAUUUACUUACUGGUGUUCCUCCAGCACAUCUGGACGAGGAUGGUGUGGCCGCUUUGUGGUCCUCACUACGUAACACGAAGUCUUCAUUGUGGUGCAUCACCCUCAUCUUCACUGUGGCUGCCUCCAGCCUGGCUCUGUCUCCAAGGCAGAUUCCAUUUCUUUUUUCUUUUUUUUCCAAAUAAAACCAAUAUUGCUAUUGCUAUGUAUUAUUUAUGCUGCGGAAAACAUUGAGAGGAAGAAAUGGGAAAAAUUAGCUCAUUCUUUCUAGAAUCUGCAAGCAGCUGAAAGACAAAGAAUAUAGAAUUAACAAAAAAAACAAAAAAACCCAACAACCUCAGCUAAUUUUGGAAAGUUUCGUCUUCACAAGAUCCACUCAUUUCAUAGCUAAUUCUUUGUAAACCGUUAUUCCUUUUGUUCCAAGUUUGGUAUAGUUUUACAUCAAGCCAAGUUCAAUGAAAGAAGAAAAAGGAGAGAUGGUUUGAAUUAUUCCCCAUCCCCUCACCCCACAAGAAAAAACUUGGGUUUGAAGAUCACAUUUUAAUAUGCAAGAAUCCAUCCAAGGACGCCCUUGCUAAUCUUUCAGAAUGCAGCAUUGUGCUCCUUCAAAGUAUUGAAAGCUGCUUGGAUUGUGAUUGAAUGCAUAACCCUGUAUUAAACUUCUAAUGGCUAACGAGACAGAAUUUGGUUACGAAGGCUGAAAUAUAGAAAAUAUAAAUCAGCAGCGUGCAACAGACUGAUCCUUUUUUACUUUCAUUAAAUCAGUUUUAAACUAA